GGGUUUGAUCCUGGCUCAGGAUGAACGCUGGCGGCGUGCUUAACACAUGCAAGUCGAACGAUGAUCCGGUGCUUGCACCGGGGAUUAGUGGCGAACGGGUGAGUAACACGUGAGUAACCUGCCCUUGACUCUGGGAUAAGCCUGGGAAACUGGGUCUAAUACCGGAUAUGACUCCUCAUCGCAUGGUGGGGGGUGGAAAGCUUUUGCGGUUUUGGAUGGACUCGCGGCCUAUCAGCUUGUUGGUGAGGUAAUGGCUCACCAAGGCGACGACGGGUAGCCGGCCUGAGAGGGUGACCGGCCACACUGGGACUGAGACACGGCCCAGACUCCUACGGGAGGCAGCAGUGGGGAAUAUUGCACAAUGGGCGAAAGCCUGAUGCAGCGACGCCGCGUGAGGGAUGACGGCCUUCGGGUUGUAAACCUCUUUCAGUAGGGAAGAAGCGAAAGUGACGGUACCUGCAGAAGAAGCGCCGGCUAACUACGUGCCAGCAGCCGCGGUAAUACGUAGGGCGCAAGCGUUAUCCGGAAUUAUUGGGCGUAAAGAGCUCGUAGGCGGUUUGUCGCGUCUGCCGUGAAAGUCCGGGGCUCAACUCCGGAUCUGCGGUGGGUACGGGCAGACUAGAGUGAUGUAGGGGAGACUGGAAUUCCUGGUGUAGCGGUGAAAUGCGCAGAUAUCAGGAGGAACACCGAUGGCGAAGGCAGGUCUCUGGGCAUUAACUGACGCUGAGGAGCGAAAGCAUGGGGAGCGAACAGGAUUAGAUACCCUGGUAGU
Molecule: ribosomal RNA, 772 nt
Filed under: uncultured bacterium
Lineage: Bacteria
Description: bacterial SSU rRNA
Rfam family: Bacterial small subunit ribosomal RNA
Source: RNAcentral